Molecule: transfer RNA, 85 nt
Filed under: Lentibacillus juripiscarius
Lineage: Bacteria; Bacillati; Bacillota; Bacilli; Caryophanales; Bacillaceae
Also listed under: 5 other names
Description: tRNA-Leu
Rfam family: tRNA
About the family: Transfer RNA (tRNA) molecules are approximately 80 nucleotides in length. Their secondary structure includes four short double-helical elements and three loops (D, anti-codon, and T loops).
Source: RNAcentral
GCGGGUGUGGCGGAAUUGGCAGACGCGCUAGAUUUAGGAUCUAGUGUCUCGCGACGUGGGGGUUCAAGUCCCUCCACCCGCACCA